GACCGGCGGACGGGUGAGUAACACGUAUGCAACCUGCCCGUAAUCGGGGGAUAACCCGGAGAAAUUCGGACUAAAACUCCAUGAAUCUGAGAUAUCGCAUGAUAAAACAGAAAAACGCAAGGAUUACGGAUGGGCAUGCGGAUGAUUAGCUAGUUGGAGGGGUAACGGCCCGCCAAGGCGACGAUCAUUAGGGGUUCUGAGAGGAAGGUCCCCCACAUUGGAACUGAGAGACGGUCCAAACUCCUACGGGAGGCAGCAGUG
Molecule: ribosomal RNA, 261 nt
Filed under: Bigelowiella natans
Lineage: Eukaryota; Cercozoa; Chlorarachniophyceae
Description: partial Bacterial small subunit ribosomal RNA
Rfam family: Bacterial small subunit ribosomal RNA
Source: RNAcentral